This is a non-coding RNA of Camelus ferus (Wild Bactrian camel), 73 nucleotides long. Lineage: Eukaryota; Metazoa; Chordata; Mammalia; Artiodactyla; Camelidae. The record is from Rfam.
GAGGGUAUAGCUCAGUGGUAGAGUGCAUGUUUAGCAUGCACCAAGAGCCUGGGUUCAGUCCUCAGUACCGCCA